RNAcentral lists this small RNA (803 nucleotides) under Pan troglodytes (chimpanzee). RNAcentral's name for it is "processed transcript". Lineage: Eukaryota; Metazoa; Chordata; Mammalia; Primates; Hominidae. The record is from RNAcentral.
CUUCAGCAAGUACUGCAACUCCAGCGACAUCAUGGACCUGUUCUGCAUCGCCACCGGCCUGCCUCGGAACACAACCAUCUCCCUGCUGACCACCGACGACGCCAUGGUCUCCAUCGACCCCACCAUGCCGGCGAAUUCAGAACGCACUCCCUACAAAGUGAGACCUGUGGCCAUCAAGCAACUCUCUGAGAGAGAAGAAUUAAUCCAGAGCGUGCUGGCGCAGGUUGCAGAGCAGUUCUCAAGAGCAUUCAAAAUCAAUGAACUGAAAGCUGAAGUUGCAAAUCACUUGGCUGUCCUAGAGAAACGCGUGGAAUGACCAACUGCCCCUGUAAGUACAGUUUUUUGGAUAACCACAAGAAGUUGACUCCUCGACGCGAUGUUCCCACUUACCCCAAGUACCUGCUCUCUCCAGAGACCAUCGAGGCCCUGCGGAAGCCGACCUUUGACGUCUGGCUUUGGGAGCCCAAUGAGAUGCUGAGCUGCCUGGAGCACAUGUACCACGACCUCGGGCUGGUCAGGGACUUCAGCAUCAACCCUGUCACCCUCAGGAGGUGGCUGUUCUGCGUCCACGACAACUACAGAAACAACCCCUUCCACAACUUCCGGCACUGCUUCUGCGUGGCCCAGAUGAUGUACAGCAUGGUGUGGCUCUGCAGUCUCCAGGAGAACUUCUCACAAAUGGAUAUCCUGAUCCUAAUGACAGCGGCCAUCUGCCACGAUCUGGACCAUCCCGGCUACAACAACACGUACCAGAUCAAUGCCCGCACAGAGCUGGCGGUCCGCUACAAUGACAUCUCACCGCU